Molecule: long non-coding RNA, 1974 nt
Organism: Helianthus annuus (common sunflower)
Lineage: Eukaryota; Viridiplantae; Streptophyta; Magnoliopsida; Asterales; Asteraceae
Exons: 3
Source: RefSeq, a predicted model, not a curated record
UGUGCUUUGUGAGGAACAAGGGAAGAUAGAGAGUGCAGUAAGGGAGAGAAAGGUAGAUUCGGAAAAGAGAGAGACGUGCCUCCGACAACGGGUUCCCGGCACGUGCAGAUGGUGGCGGCUUAAGGGUUUUCUGUGGUUUAGUUCUGCUAUGCGGCUGAAACCAAAGCUCUUUAUAAGGCCCUCAAUAAGUGAUGGUGGGUGCAGCUAUUGGUUGAAUUAAGCGGGUUUUGAUGACAUGUACCCAUCUUAACUCUAUCCGUAUCAUUUAAUUGAAGAUUAGAUUAUCUCAGACCUUAAAAGAUGAAUUGUUAUUAAUGUUUUUAUAAUAUUAAGACAAUAAAUCAAGAGUUUUACCUCUUUAAAAGUCCAACUUUGAUGUAGAUUUCAGUAAUGUUUGUUAGUUUUGAUAUUGAGUUGUAAGUUGAUGUUGAAAUGUGGAUGAUUUGCAGUAUAAAGAAGUGCAGGGUAAAUGGGCUUUUACAAUAUAGUGUCUUUAUUUAGCAUUAUUUUAUUUGAUAUUAGGUUAUCAAUAGGUGAUUAUUGGGAUUUUAGAUACAAAGCAUUUGAUGAAUUGGAAGGAAUUGAAGUAGCUUGGAAUCAAAUAAACAUUUCUGAUUUCUUAAGGAAUCCAAAGGAGCUGGAGCGUCUAUACUCAGAAGUUCAAUUACUUAAAACGCUUAGGCCUAAGAACAUUAUCAAAUUUUACAUUUCUUGAGUUGAUACAAUGAAGGGUACAUUGACUUUAUUACUGAGAUUUUUACAUCUAGAACAUUAAGACAUAAGUUUUAAUUUGUGUCGCGUGUAUUUUGUUGCUGAGACAUGUGAAAAAACGAUGGCUUUGGAUGAUAGUGUGAUUGUCAAAUUUAGAGGCUUGGUAAUUAUCAAAGUUAAUGGAGUGUGCCUUAUAUAACUUACAAUAUUUGUCCGGUAUUUAUUCCUUUUAUUUACAAUUUAGCCAUCCAUGAUACUGGUAGUAAGUUAAAUCAUUGAUGUGUUAAUCUUACAUAUAAGAUAUAAAAACAUAUUUUAGUGAAAUAAAUUAUUUUGGUCAAACUUGGACUUUUAAAGAGGUAAAUCCCUGACUUAUCUCUCAAAAAUUGAAUCUUGGUUCUUUGGUUAUGAUUUAUCGGGGGUCAUCAUCGCGGUUCUUACAGUUUUUUAAAGAAUUGGUGAUAUAUUCAUUUCAUGGUAAGUAUAAAAAAUUUUCUAUGUUAAUUUCUUAACGAUGAUGUAAUGUAUGGAUGCAUGUUUUCACAUGAGAAUCGACUAUAAAUCACUGUUUGAAAAAUUAUUCUUAGGUUCCGGAUAUGUGGAACAAUAACGGAUCAAUUGCUCUGCAUGGAACAGGCGAAGGACCGUCACUAGAACCGCCGGGGCGGAGGUGUUGGUGGCUCUACUCUGCCACCGCCACGGCUGCUCAACCAUCGUAUAUUGUGUUGUCAUCUCUAAUGGAAGCGGAGGCAUGGUUGGAGGAGUAGGCGCGACUGCGGGAUGCAGUUGAACUCGAAGUGGUAUGGUGAUAAAUAGAAGUUUGGAUUAGUUGAGACGUAUAAGGAAGAUAUGUCGCCGGAGCAUGUUAAGAAGAUUAUCAGGUGUCGAUAACCUACCAUGGCCAUCAAAUUGCACGGGAUCUUACGUUCAACCCCAACAUAUCAUGCUAUGGUGGCACUUUUUGAAAAGGAUCUCAACUUCUAGUUCGUUCUGGUCGAUUUUACCACCUCUGAACAGACCACACCUCAGUUUGUCGCUCUCAACGAUCUGGUACUUAAGGAUGCGAAGAAAUCAGUAAUCUAUCUGCGAUAUAGACAUUGUGGAUCGAAGUGGAAGCAUAGAAGUUUGAUCCGACGUCUUCGAAACUGACUUGGGAGUUGUAUUUUAACCAGAUCCCCGCCGCAUUUCGGCGGGUUGUAAAUCUAGUUAUUAAUUAAACAACAUUGCUUAGAUAUAUUAGAAUAUAUGUAUAUAAACACACAC